GUCGAGCGAACAGAUGAGAAGCUUGCUUCUCUGAUGUUAGCGGCGGACGGGUGAGUAACACGUGGGUAACCUACCUAUAAGACUGGGAUAACUCCGGGAAACCGGGGCUAAUACCGGAUAAUAUUUUGAACCGCAUGGUUCAAUAGUGAAAGACGGUUUCGGCUGUCACUUAUAGAUGGACCCGCGCCGUAUUAGCUAGUUGGUAAGGUAACGGCUUACCAAGGCGACGAUACGUAGCCGACCUGAGAGGGUGAUCGGCCACACUGGAACUGAGACACGGUCCAGACUCCUACGGGAGGCAGCAGUAGGGAAUCUUCCGCAAUGGGCGAAAGCCUGACGGAGCAACGCCGCGUGAGUGAUGAAGGUCUUCGGAUCGUAAAACUCUGUUGUUAGGGAAGAACAAAUUUGUUAGUAACUGAACAAGUCUUGACGGUACCUAACCAGAAAGCCACGGCUAACUACGUGCCAGCAGCCGCGGUAAUACGUAGGUGGCAAGCGUUAUCCGGAAUUAUUGGGCGUAAAGCGCGCGUAGGCGGUUUCUUAAGUCUGAUGUGAAAGCCCACGGCUCAACCGUGGAGGGUCAUUGGAAACUGGGAAACUUGAGUGCAGAAGAGGAGAGUGGAAUUCCAUGUGUAGCGGUGAAAUGCGCAGAGAUAUGGAGGAACACCAGUGGCGAAGGCGGCUCUCUGGUCUGUAACUGACGCUGAUGUGCGAAAGCGUGGGGAUCAAACAGGAUUAGAUACCCUGGUAGUCCACGCCGUAAACGAUGAGUGCUAAGUGUUAGGGGGUUUCCGCCCCUUAGUGCUGCAGCUAACGCAUUAAGCACUCCGCCUGGGGAGUACGACCGCAAGGUUGAAACUCAAAGGAAUUGACGGGGACCCGCACAAGCGGUGGAGCAUGUGGUUUAAUUCGAAGCAACGCGAAGAACCUUACCAAAUCUUGACAUCCUUUGACCGCUCUAGAGAUAGAGUCUUCCCCUUCGGGGGACAAAGUGACAGGUGGUGCAUGGUUGUCGUCAGCUCGUGUCGUGAGAUGUUGGGUUAAGUCCCGCAACGAGCGCAACCCUUAAGCUUAGUUGCCAUCAUUAAGUUGGGCACUCUAGGUUGACUGCCGGUGACAAACCGGAGGAAGGUGGGGAUGACGUCAAAUCAUCAUGCCCCUUAUGAUUUGGGCUACACACGUGCUACAAUGGAUAAUACAAAGGGCAGCGAAUCCGCGAGGCCAAGCAAAUCCCAUAAAAUUAUUCUCAGUUCGGAUUGUAGUCUGCAACUCGACUACAUGAAGCUGGAAUCGCUAGUAAUCGUAGAUCAGCAUGCUACGGUGAAUACGUUCCCGGGUCUUGUACACACCGCCCGUCACACCACGAGAGUUUGUAACACCCGAAGCCGGUGGAGUAA
This 1397-nucleotide ribosomal RNA is filed under the name Mammaliicoccus sciuri. RNAcentral's name for it is "bacterial SSU rRNA". It matches the Rfam family "Bacterial small subunit ribosomal RNA", at positions 61 to 1438 of the family's 1533-position model. The record is from RNAcentral. Lineage: Bacteria; Bacillati; Bacillota; Bacilli; Caryophanales; Staphylococcaceae.